CUACGGGACGCUGCAGUGAGGAAUAUUGCACAAUGGGGGGAACCCUGAUGCAGCAACGCCGCGUGGAGGAUGACGCAUUUCGGUGUGUAAACUCCUUUUAUAUGUCAAGAAAAUGACGGUAGCAUAUGAAUAAGCACCGGCUAACUCCGUGCCAGCAGCCGCGGUAAUACGGAGGGUGCAAGCGUUACUCGGAAUCACUGGGCGUAAAGGACGCGUAGGCGGGUUGGAAAGUCAGGUGUGAAAUCCUACGGCUUAACUGUAGAACUGCACUUGAAACUUCUAAUCUAGAGUAUGGGAGGGGGAGAUGGAAUUAGUGGUGUAGGGGUAAAAUCCGUAGAUAUCACUAGGAAUACCUAAAGCGAAGGCGAUCUCCUGGAACAUUACUGACGCUAAGGCGUGAAAGCGUGGGGAGCAAACAGGAUUAAAUACCCCCGUAGUC
Molecule: ribosomal RNA, 439 nt
Filed under: uncultured bacterium
Lineage: Bacteria
Description: partial 16S ribosomal RNA
Rfam family: Bacterial small subunit ribosomal RNA
Source: RNAcentral